AAGAUACUCUCUCCGUCCAACAAAAGAUGUCUCAAGUUUGUCAAAAUUUGAAUAUAUCUAGACAUGACUUAGUGGUAUAGAUGCAUUCAAAUUUAGUCAAAAUGGAGACAUUAUUUUUGUUGGAUGGAGUGAGCAGUCU
Brachypodium distachyon (stiff brome) is the source of this 139-nucleotide non-coding RNA. Lineage: Eukaryota; Viridiplantae; Streptophyta; Magnoliopsida; Poales; Poaceae. The record is from Rfam.